AUCUUUGCGCAGAGGCAGUAUCGUAGCCAAUGAGGUUUAUCCGAGGCGCGAUUAUUGCUAGUUGAAAACUUAUCCCAAUACCCCGCUCUAUCGACGCGAAAUACCGUCGACUGUAGCAAUUUUUCCAGAUCUCCAAAGAGA
Molecule: non-coding RNA, 141 nt
Organism: Strongylocentrotus purpuratus (purple sea urchin)
Lineage: Eukaryota; Metazoa; Echinodermata; Echinoidea; Camarodonta; Strongylocentrotidae
Source: Rfam